UCACGGGUGAGAGGACCAGCUUUGGCAGCAGCCCGUCCCUUGUUCCCUGAGAGGAAGAAUUAAAGAACGUGACGGUGGGAAGAGUGCGCGUCUGCAGGCUUCUGUUUUCCUUAUAACGUUGGGGACAAGUUCACCCCCUUAGAGUCCGGAGGAGGUGGUGGGGUAGGAAACUUGGGGAGCGGUGAAGAUUUGGACUAGUUACAGCAGGGAGUGAAAGAGGAAACCAGACACAACUUUGGAAGGACCUGCCAAGCAACUGUGCAACUCCACUAUGUCCUGUGAUAACCAAUUUCAAUCGCAUAGCAUUUACACCCAUCACACUCACUUGAAGGCAAAGUUCCACAUGCAAGCAAGCUUCGAGCCCAGCACUGACUUGUAUUUCUCAUGCUGAAGGGAAGAAGCCUUGAGAGAAAUAUAACUAUUUUCGUAUUUAAUGUCAGCCGAUUACCAUAAAACUCAGGCAAUUGGGAGUAAGUGGUUUGUGCUCAAGAGCGUUUGUGACCAGAAACACAGCCAGCCCUGCAGCCUUCCCCAGCCAGGCCCUAAGCAAACCAGACUGGGGACCGUUCUGUGGAUCUUUCUGAUUCACUCAUACAUGGCAGGAUAAUUAUCGUGGUAGUAAUUUCUUUCUUGUUCUUGCAGCAGUGGGGGAAUUUAAAGAAGGAAAAGGCAGUGUUUCCACGUCCAUUCCUGUGUACGUCCCCAGGUCUAAGCUCUUUUUACUCCUUCGGGAGAUUUAACACUUCUUCGUGUUUAAGGGGCCACCCUGAAGUCAAUGCCCCACAGGCCUUGGUGUGGAAGGACUGUCAGAGAACUAACGCCACCCUUCGAAAUGGAAGACUGGGAAUCAGCACUACCGGCAUUUCCUGGACUAAAGGAGAAGGUGUUCUUCCAAAGCAGAACAGGUGCACUGGUCCCCCAGAGGCAAGGCGAAUGGAUGCUGGUGUCCCGAGGGACGGUUUCUCUCUGAAGGGUACUUGUUACAUCAGAUCUACCUGGAUCACCCCCAACCUCUUCUUCUCCACUGGCUCCUCCUCCCUGACCCCUACAUACACACUGGAAUCCCCCUUACCUUUGGAAUCAAUCUUGACAUCAAUGUUCUGGCUAUGGCUCCCUCUUUUUCCUGGAUGGGGAGAGAGGCUGAUGUCUCGAUAGGAAGAGGGGAGGGGCCUGUCUGGGGCUGUUUCCAGUAACUGUCCUUACUAGCAGUUCCCUAGUGGAGGGAAUGGCUACAUGUGUCAGCCAGGGAUACCAAACCCAAGAUCUGGCAAGGAUUUCUGUGUCCAGUCUUGACAUGGAGUCCCAUGUCUUCAAGGGAAUCCCAAAGGCAAAGGCAAAGAGCAUAGCAAGUUGUGGCCACAGGGGCUCUUCAGGUCAGAUAUUCAGGAUAAAGACCUCAGAGGCUUCUGUCUGCCUCUGAGGGAUGGCUCCUUCCCAAACUUAACUCAGUCUACAUUACCAGCCAAGCUACAAUGGCUUGAUUUUGGUUUGGAAGAUGAGGUUUGCUGCCCUCGAGUGUUGUGUGGGGUAAAGUCCUAGCUGUUACGCAUGUGGACAUCGAGUGCCAGGCACCGUGCUAAACCACCUGGGGGAUGAUGGUGCUGAACCAGGUCGGACGCAUCUUGGAGGAGUUGGAGCACACCACAGGCCUCUCCCUGAGCAUCUGGUGGUUCAGUGGUCAAGAUAUGGUCCUGAGUCAAAGACACUUACCUCAGGGGAGCUUGGGCUGUGCCUAAAAAUGUAAUCAAAACAAGCGAUCUUGUUUAAGCACUCUCCACAUCCUUUUUUCUCUUUUUUGAACAGGUGCAACCAUAUCAAAGAACCUAUAAUUCGCUCUAAAUCUUUUGUUAUUGAAUAUCUUCUUAAGUUUUAAACAUGCUUAGUUUUCAGAUGAGUCCAAUGUUAGCGUACGGUAGUAGUCACACCUCUGCCUAAGUCUGGAGGAGGAAACAAAGUGGCCAUAAUAAUGUGGAAAUAAUUCAUGAAAAUGUAGUGCCCAACAUUUUUUUCCUCCUGGAAACUGGCCAGGUCUUGUGCCCCGCUUCCUCUCAGAUGCACCAGAUGAGCGGAGAGCGUCGGCAAACCCUGGAGUCUGUGGCUCCCAGAUGCUGCUCGGGGUGGGAGAGUGCCUCCGUAGCUGCUCGGCCAUCUGGCCCAUCGCACUGCUGUCAAGUUGUGUUUUGCAGCGUCAACUGAUGAAGCUGUGCAGCGCAACAUGGCAGGCUGUGCUAGUGCCACGCGGAAAGUGAACGGGAUCCCAGGUGAUUCACCACCAGCCCUGCUUCCUCCAGGCUUCAUUUUUUUUUUUUUUUUUUUGCUGGCAGGGGAAUAUUCAAGAAAGGAAGAAAUUGCUGGAUGUAUCUGGCCCGAAGCUAUGAACGAAGUAGUUUCAGAUGCUUAAAGAAAUAAUACUACAAGCUACAUGUGAUCUCGUUCGUGGCAGCAAUUUGACUGGGAAACGUGUUUUGCUUUAAAUGAUUCUUAUUUUUGCUUAGCCAAAUCAACGUUCUACAAGAACUGAGAUGAAUGUAAUAAAUCUCUUUCAACUGUCCAUCAUCUAGUUUGAUAAUCCAGAACUAGGUAUUUUAGGUCGGUGGUCCUCAAAGGGUGGUCCUGGGUGGGCAGCAUCAGCUUCACCUGGGAACUUGCUAUAAACGCAUCAUAGACCCCAGCCCAGACCCCAUCCCAGACCCUCUGAGUCACACACUCUGGAGCCGGAGCCCAGCAGUUCAACAAACCCUGCAGGAAUUUCUCGGAAUGGCGGAUGGCAAGAGGGUCCUCGUCGCUGGAAAUGAACCAAUCCCUUAAGCAGAAGGUUCUGUGGUGGAGGAGCGGGGUGGGGCGCAAACAGGCCCUAAACAGCCAUUUCACCUGUGGCUCAAUGAGUCCCAGGUGAUCGCAGAGACUGAAAUCUCUUGGGAGAACAGAAAUGAGGAACGUGGGAGCAGAGUUUCUGGGGAUUUAGAACUCUGUCCCAGAAACUGACCCCAGCACCUGAAACUGACAGUGCAGACGCUCAGAACUUUUGAGGAAUUAUAAUUUUAAGAAUGGACUGGAUUCUCCUUCAAGAAAAUGUCAAUUUACUUGAAUUUUGAAGGAUAAAAUUUGAAACUCUCAAUGCUUAAAUUUCUA
Molecule: long non-coding RNA, 3132 nt
Filed under: Equus asinus (donkey)
Lineage: Eukaryota; Metazoa; Chordata; Mammalia; Perissodactyla; Equidae
Description: lncRNA (ENSEASG00005032790.1)
Source: RNAcentral